GACCUUCAGAUCCGAUAGUCACCGAUUGUUUCCAUCCAACACAGUUCCCUCCGAUGGCGGCAAGUCACGAAGCAGCAGCAGUGCUCGAGGUGCUGGUGGAUUAUCGACUGCCAGCUCUACUGAAUUUCUCUAUCUUGGAACAUUAAUCAAUUCUCGUGGAAUAAAUGCUAGUACAGUAGUUGAUUCUGCUGCUGCAAAUGCUUCUCCUUAUCAAAAUGCUUCUCCUUAUCAAAAAUUGGGUUCACCUGAGCUUCACCCACUUCCACCACUUGCUCGCCAUCAUCAUUUCAGGCGAAAUGUCCAAGUGGGUUCAUCAGCAACAGAAGAAGAGGAAGAAGAAGAAGAAGAAGAAGAAGAAGAAGAAGAAGAGUUUUACUCUCCAAGAGGAUCUUCUGGUGGUAAAGAUAGUCCUAAUUUUAUUAAUGGAUCCACUUCUAGAAGAGUGUUUACAACAACUGAUACUGAUAUAUUGAUGACUACUGAUCAUCAUAGAA
This 494-nucleotide long non-coding RNA is filed under the name Aquilegia coerulea. RNAcentral describes it as "long non-coding RNA (ACOE_LNC000084)". The record is from RNAcentral. Lineage: Eukaryota; Viridiplantae; Streptophyta; Magnoliopsida; Ranunculales; Ranunculaceae.